Molecule: transfer RNA, 72 nt
Filed under: Plectorhinchus orientalis (oriental sweetlips)
Lineage: Eukaryota; Metazoa; Chordata; Actinopteri; Lutjaniformes; Haemulidae
Description: tRNA-Val
Rfam family: tRNA
About the family: Transfer RNA (tRNA) molecules are approximately 80 nucleotides in length. Their secondary structure includes four short double-helical elements and three loops (D, anti-codon, and T loops).
Source: RNAcentral
CGGAGCAUAGCUAAGAAGUAAAGCAUCUCUUUUACACUGAGAAGUCAUCUGUGCGAACCAGAUUGCCCCGAC